Molecule: ribosomal RNA, 885 nt
Filed under: uncultured bacterium
Lineage: Bacteria
Description: bacterial SSU rRNA
Rfam family: Bacterial small subunit ribosomal RNA
Source: RNAcentral
AGAGUUUGAUCAUGGCUCAGAGCGAACGCUGGCGGCAGGCCUAACACAUGCAAGUCGAGCGCCCCGCAAGGGGAGCGGCAGACGGGAGAGUAACACGUGGGAACGUACCCUUUGGUUCGGAACAACCCAGGGAAACUUGGGCUAAUACCGGAUAAGCCCUUACGGGGAAAGAUUUAUCGCCGAAGGAUCGGCCCGCGUCUGAUUAGCUAGUUGGUGGGGUAAUGGCCCACCAAGGCUACGAUCAGUAGCUGGUCUGAGAGGAUGAUCAGCCUCACUGGGACUGAGACACGGCCCAGACUCCUACGGGAGGCAGCAGUGGGGAAUAUUGGACAAUGGGCGCAAGCCUGAUCCAGCCGUGCCGCGUGGGUGAUGAAGGCCCUAGGGUUGUAAAGCCCUUUCAGCGGGGAAGAUAAUGACGGUACCCGCAGAAGAAGCCCCGGCUAACUUCGUGCCAGCAGCCGCGGUAAUACGAAGGGGGCUAGCGUUGCUCGGAAUCACUGGGCGUAAAGCGCACGUAGGCGGAUUGCUAAGUCAGGGGUGAAAUCCUGGAGCUCAACUCCAGAACUGCCCUUGAUACUGGCGACCUCGAGUCCGGGAGAGGUGAGUGGAACUGCGAGUGUAGAGGUGAAAUUCGUAGAUAUUCGCAAGAACACCAGUGGCGAAAGCGGCUCACUGGCCCGGUACUGACGCUGAGUGCGAAAGCGUGGGGAGCAAACAGGAUUAGAUACCCUGGUAGUCCACGCCGUAAACGAUGGAUGCUAGCCGUUGGAGGGUUUACUCUUCAGUGGCGCAGCUAACGCAUUAAGCAUCCCGCCUGGGGAGUACGUCGCAGAUUAAAACUCAAAGGAAUUGACCGGGGGCCGCACAGCGGUGGAGCAUUGUGGU